AUGGAGAUGCCGGAAGCGAUGCUACAGGAGGAGGCGCUGCUCGCUGCUCAUCGUGCUCCUGCCAGCGUGAUGCCGGAUGCACACAUCAUGCUGCGAGCAGUGGGCGUCUUUGUCGGCGACUCGUGCUUCAAAGGAACAUGGGGGAGGGAGCUCCGUGCUGGUGUUGCAAUGGAACUUCACCGAAGCCGUCGGUGCUGCAUUGGAGCUCCGACGGGGCUGCAAUGGAGCUUCGGGAAGUGGCAAUGGAGCUUCACCAGAGCCGUCGGCGCUGCAUUGGCGCUCUGCCAGAGUUGCAAUGGAGCUUCGCCGGAGCCGUCGACGCUGCAGUGGAGCUCCACCGGAGUUGUAGUGGAGCUUCACCGGAGCCCGUUGGUGCUGCGUUUGAGCUCCGACGGGGCUGCAAUGGAGUAGGACCCUGGCGUCUGGCCCCUGGCCCGCAUGACCCACCAGCCCGUUGACCUGCUGACGUGGAAAAGGAUCCAGAUGCUAGGAACCCUGUCGUCUGGCCCUGGAAAAAGUUCCCAAUCGGAAGACAACUCACUUGAAUUGUUUGCCACAAAGGUUGAAUGUCCUUGGUUUAUAAUUGAUUUGAACCGGCAUGUCUCUUCCCCAAUGGAUGACAUGAGCAAGAGGACAAUGGUGCCACUUCUUGAGCACAGGGUUGUGGUUGAUGCUCCCAAUGCUUAUCGCCAACCACAUCCCCGUCUACCAUCUAGUGAAGCAAAUGAGAUUGAGCUGUAUGCCCCCAAUGCUUGUAGCCAACCACCAACUAGCCAAGCAAAUGAAGUUGAGGUGAUUGCUAGUGACGAAGUAAUUCAAGAGGAUGAAGAUUCUCAUGAUGACGACGAAGAGCAAGAGGAAGGGUUUCAUGGUAAUGAUGUUGGUGACUUGGAUGCGUACAUAGCGCAAAAGGACAUGGAUCAUGAGUUGCCUUUUAGGCAUCAAUAUGCCUAUGACUUGGAUGAUGAGGGUCCGGGUGAAGAGUUGGACGAGGAUGGAUUCACAAAGGAGGAAAACCAAAUCCACUUUGAGCUGACGGGCUUAGAAAAAAGAACUCACUUGUUUCAAGAUCUCAGCCUUGCCCAUAAAGUUGUUGUUGAUGGUGGAAUGAGAAUGACGAUGAUUGAGCCAACACCAUGCUCGGAUCCAGGCGAACCAAGGGAGGAGAACAAGAACGAUAAUGCUCAUUUGAAGAAAGGAGUGAAGUUUCUGAUCUUGCCUAUGCUGAAGUUUUGGUUGUCUGACUAUGCCAUUCGGAACCAUAGGCCCUUUUAUGUUGAGCACUCGGACAUGAAGUUGCGUUACACCGUGAAGUGUGAGCAAGAAGGAUGCCCAUUCAAGUAUGGGAAGGCAUGGAAGGCAAAGGCAAAUGCUAUUAGGAUGUUGUAUGGUGGUUACGAAGAAGCAUACAACCAGCUCCCCAGGUUGUUGGGCGCAAUUGCACAUAGGAACCCGGGCAUGUUUCAUGUGGUCGAUGAUCACGAGGGAGUGUUCCACCAUGCCUUUUGGAGUUAUGGACAAUGUGUGGAGGCGUUUGAGCAUUAUCGUCCGGUCUUGUCUAUAGAUGGCACAUUCUUGUCCGGUAGAUACAAGGGCACACAAAUGGUAGCAAUGGCGCACUCAUCAAACGACAAUGUGUUGCCAGUGGCAUUUGCUUUGGUUCCUUCCGAGCACCAAGACAACUGGGAGUGGUUCAUGGGUCAUGUUAGGCACAAGGUGAUUGGGGCUAGGGAGGUAUGCAUCAUAUCAGACCGGCACCAUGGCAUACUCAAGGCAAUGGACAUUGUUAUUCCAGGAUUUCCCAAGCUUCACCACAGAUGGUGCAUGAGGCAUUUCGUGGCCAACUUUUAUCGGGCAUGUAAGAGCAAGGAGCUCAGCAAAGACCUUACCCAUGUAUGUGUGGCCUUCACCACCGAUGCUUUCGAUGCUCGGUACAACAAACUCUUUGCAGCUAUGAACGAAGGGGGAAAAGACUUCUUAACUAGGAAUUUCAACGAGAAGCACAAGUGGGCACGCACUCAUGAUGAUGGAGGUAGGCGAUAUGGCGACAUGACGAGCAACCUGGUUGAGUGUUUCAACAAUGCGCUCAAGGGUGCUCGUUCAUUGCCGGGGACUUCAAUAGUGGAGUAUACCUUCUUCAAGCUUAAUGAGUACUUUCAGAGGCAUUCUGAAGAGACUGUAAAAUACCCUCUCCUGAAGGCGGAGACCAAGGGUAGAAGGAUAACUAAGAGGUUCCGGGGUGAUAUGGAUGACCUGGCUGGAUACACUGGCAUGAAGCAAUUUGGUAGAGGUCAUUUCAUGGAGGCUCCUGACACUAUCAAUUGUGGGGGGCAUGGCUUCACCCGGUUCCAGGAUGAGGCCGUCGUGCGUGGACAAGAGGACAUGCCGAAGACAUGGAUGGGGGCCAGGUUGGACAAGGAUAAGGAUGUGCCCACACCACCAUGUUGGUGUGGUGAUGUUUGCAACGUGAAGGUGUCCACUGACCGCAAGAAGUAA
This 2496-nucleotide ribosomal RNA is filed under the name Triticum aestivum (bread wheat). RNAcentral's name for it is "partial small subunit ribosomal RNA". The record is from RNAcentral. Lineage: Eukaryota; Viridiplantae; Streptophyta; Magnoliopsida; Poales; Poaceae.